AUGAGCAUUGGCAGGACAUCACAUGUUAAUGUUGUUACCUUAUUUGGGUUUUGUUUGGAGGGAUCAAAACGAGCUCUUAUAUAUGAAUACAUGUCGAACAGUUCCUUGGAUAAGUUCCUUUACUCAGAGAACCCCAAAGAAGUUUUAGGAUGGGAGAGGCUCUAUGAAAUAGCACUCGGGAUUGCUCAUGGCCUCCAAUACUUGCACUAUAGCUGUAAUACACGCAUCAUCCAUUUCGAUAUCAAGCCUCAAAAUAUCCUUCUGGACAGUGAUUUUAGCCCCAAAAUUGCUGAUUUUGGUCUCGCUAAAUUGUGUCAUACGAAAGAGAGUAAAGUUUCAAUGACUGGUGGUGCUAGAGGAACAAUUGGAUUCAUUGCCCCAGAAGUUCAUUCUAGAACCUUCGGAGUGGUUUCAACAAAGUCAGAUGUUUAUAGUUAUGGAAUGAUGUUGUUGGAGAUGGUUGGAGGCAGGAGAAAUGUAAAAUCAAUUGUUGAAAAAUCCAGUGAAAAGUAUUUCCCAGAUUGGAUUUAUGACCACUUUUCACAAGAUGAAGGUUUGCAGGCAUGUGAUGUGACAAGUGAAACUACGGAGAUAGCUAGAAAGAUGACAUUAAUUGGCCUGUGGUGCAUACAGGUAUUACCUAUGUAUCGCCCUACUAUAACACGAGUUCUGGAAAUGUUUGAGAGAAGCUUAAAUGAACUGGACAUGCCACCAAAGCAGAACUUCUCACUAACUUGA
This 738-nucleotide ribosomal RNA is filed under the name Triticum aestivum (bread wheat). Its description in RNAcentral is "partial small subunit ribosomal RNA". Lineage: Eukaryota; Viridiplantae; Streptophyta; Magnoliopsida; Poales; Poaceae. The record is from RNAcentral.